UACGAAGGGGGCAAGCGUUGUUCGGAAUUACUGGGCGUAAAGGGCGCGUAGGCGGUGCUCUAAGUCAGGCGUGAAAGCCCUGGGCUCAACCCGGGAAUUGCGCUUGAUACUGGAGCGCUUGAAUCCAGGAGAGGUUGGUGGAAUUCCCAGUGUAGAGGUGAAAUUCGUAGAUAUUGGGAAGAACACCAGUGGCGAAGGCGGCUAACUGGUCCAGCACUGACGCUGAGGUGCGAAAGCGUGGGGAGCAAACAGG
This 253-nucleotide ribosomal RNA is filed under the name uncultured bacterium. RNAcentral's name for it is "partial 16S ribosomal RNA". It matches the Rfam family "Bacterial small subunit ribosomal RNA", at positions 524 to 776 of the family's 1533-position model. The record is from RNAcentral.